This 244-nucleotide ribosomal RNA is filed under the name uncultured Staphylococcus sp. RNAcentral's name for it is "partial 16S ribosomal RNA". It matches the Rfam family "Bacterial small subunit ribosomal RNA", at positions 96 to 334 of the family's 1533-position model. The record is from RNAcentral. Lineage: Bacteria; Bacillati; Bacillota; Bacilli; Caryophanales; Staphylococcaceae.
CGGCGGACGGGUGAGUAACACGUGGAUAACCUACCUAUAAGACUGGGAUAACUUCGGGAAACCGGAGCUAAUACCGGAUAAUAUUUUAAACCGCAUGGUUCAAAAGUGAAAGACGGUCUUGCUGUCACUUAUAGAUGGAUCCGCGCUGCAUUAGCUAGUUGGUAAGGUAACUGCUUACCAAGGCAACGAUGCAUAGCCGACCUGAGAGGGUGAUCGGCCACACUGGAACUUAGACACGGUCCAG